Molecule: long non-coding RNA, 207 nt
Filed under: Lathyrus oleraceus (garden pea)
Lineage: Eukaryota; Viridiplantae; Streptophyta; Magnoliopsida; Fabales; Fabaceae
Description: Pisum sativum (pea) long non-coding RNA (PSAT_LNC041510)
Source: RNAcentral
GCAAGAUGUUACUCCGAGGAGUCUAACAUCGUGGUUUCAAUCGAAGAUAUUCCCCAGUAGUGCGAUACUGGAGGAGAUUUGUUUUUCCGUCGGACAGAGAUGGGAAAUAUUUUGCGAUCAGCGCAAUUCAAGCCGUGGUUACCGCUUGGAGUUUUGUUUCGCCGAAUGGUGAAGAUGUUACUCUGAGGAGUUUAGCAUCAAGACGUC